Long non-coding RNA from Perca fluviatilis (European perch), 1192 nucleotides. RefSeq lists it as uncharacterized. The record is from RefSeq and is a predicted model, not a curated record. NCBI's taxonomy places the organism in Eukaryota, Metazoa, Chordata, Actinopteri, Perciformes, Percidae. The transcript has 4 exons.
UGACAUGUCAACAUGUCUGCCGUGAAAAAGGGCUAACUUCUGCUGUAAACACGUGCUGCUCCUGCUCACAUACAGUUAGAAAGUUGAAUUGCCAUCUGUUUGACCAUGUCGCUUAAGGACAGCUUUGUGGAGGAAAUAAUCAUGUUUGGCCAUUAGUGCCCUAUUUCUGUUACUCAUCUUUUUCGUGAGGCGCGCACUUCAAAACAGAGGCUAACGUUUUCUGUCGUGCUGCUAGCUGCUUUGGACCACAGCAACACGGCAAGACUGACUGCUCUACCAAACCAGCUCACUGUAAGCCCUUAUCCAGCAUGGAGCCAAAGAGUUCAGUGAUGCCAAGCUGAGUCCCUUAAUAACCCCACAGCUCUCUUGCCGGUUCCCAGAGCCAAUCCUGCUGUGAAUGACUACUAAUAUGAUGGUGGGCCCUGCCGAGACAUGGAGUCCACUUCCUGUAUGACUAAAAGAGGUGUGCCUGCUGCAAUUGAUAUACUGCUUACCACAGAAGAAAGCUCACCAAUGCCACGCUACAUUAUCCUGAAAAUAGACUACACAGGAACAAAAAGAGCACUCCCUGGAACUCCCAAAAGGACCCCUGGAAGUCCCCGCGCUGCGGAUUGGGAAACACACCAAACCCUGCUCCAGGGUUUUAAAAAAAAACAAAAAACGCUGCAGGCACACAGGGCAAGAUAAGUAUUACGAUCAAUAUUUCAAAUAUUUGCUGUACAUUGUGAAAUGUUGACAAUAAUCUGACAAUGAAAUGUCUUUCCACUUUUAGUUUUUGAGCUGUGCGCUGGGGAACUCAGAGAGUUGGGGGGAUGAUGUCUAACAUCAGAAUGGAGAAGUUGUCAAAACCGUGUGUGUGUGUGUGUGUGUGUGUGUGUGUGUGUGUGUGUGUGUGUGUGUGUGUGUGUGUGUGUGUGUGUGUGUGUGUGUUGCAUGUAUUACCAGUGACAGCGCAGUCAGUGGUCUACGCAUGAUGUGGCAUCAGCUCUAGCAGACAGACUAAAAUAGUGCCUUGUGUGACAAAGUGUGCCCAAUAGUGAGAGAGAAUGAUUUUUUUUCCCUUUUUCUUUUUUUUACACCAGCUUCCUUCCUAUGGUAAAUUGUAGGCCAGAGGUGGCGGAAAUACGUCAGUUAUGUGGGUUCUCUGAAGCUUGACUGUGUCUCUUAAUUUCGGAUGAGGGGAAUGAGAGAG